UAAUAAGUGUUUUAUGGCACUUUUUAAAUCCAUAUCCACCUUGUGUGCAAUGUCAGUCGAUCUUCUUCAUGGAGAUCGACCAAACAUCAACCUUUAUUUUUUAACUCUUUGUCUGAAAAAUAUUAUGAACUAAACAAUUCAAAAUA
RNAcentral lists this unclassified non-coding RNA (146 nucleotides) under soil metagenome. Its description in RNAcentral is "partial internal transcribed spacer 1". The record is from RNAcentral.